AACAACAAAGAAUAAUAUGAUGAAGUUGUGAGUGAAAAGAACUCGUUAGAUCUUUCAUCAACUAACGACUAUUCAAAGUUACACGACUAUUCUAUGGAUAAGAAAAGGAUAUUUAAAUUCAAAUUGACUACUUUUUGAGAAAAGGAUGAAGAGGAGGAAGAGGUAGAUAAUGAUGAAGGAGGUUUUCCUGAGCCAGAGAGUAUCGGGCAUUUGAUGAGCACGGAAGGGGAGAUUGAUGGGAAUGAACAUGGGGAAGAUAGGGAUGAUGAUAAUCAUGGUGAGACUGGUGAGGAAGAGUUAGGUGUUCAAGAGGAUGGGGAAUAUGAAGAUGAAGAAGAGGGUGAAGAGGAGGUGAGGUUUCAUAUUGCUUGCAAUACUUACUACCUGUCAUACUUCUAUUGUUUACACCAUUUGAUUAACUUUAGUUUCUUUUUUUUCUACUUAUUGCGUUGUUAUCUCAUAUAACUUGAGUUAAUUGUUUGAUUUAAGUGGCUUUUUUAGAUUUUUUCCAAGUAAAUAUA
This is an RNA transcript of Gossypium raimondii (Peruvian cotton), 521 nucleotides long. It is a transcript of the gene named acidic leucine-rich nuclear phosphoprotein 32-related protein-like, with no coding region annotated. The record is from RefSeq and is a predicted model, not a curated record. NCBI's taxonomy places the organism in Eukaryota, Viridiplantae, Streptophyta, Magnoliopsida, Malvales, Malvaceae. The transcript is spliced from 2 exons.